AUUGAACGCUGGCGGCAUGCCUUACACAUGCAAGUCGAACGGCAGCACGGGAGCUUGCUCCUGGUGGCGAGUGGCGAACGGGUGAGUAAUGCAUCGGAACGUGCUCUGAAGUGGGGGAUAACGUAGCGAAAGUUACGCUAAUACCGCAUAUUCUGUGAGCAGGAAAGCAGGGGGAUCUUCGGACCUUGCGCUUUUUGGAGCGGCCGAUGUCGGAUUAGCUAGUUGGUGGGGUAAAGGCCCACCAAGGCGACGAUCCGUAGCGGGUCUGAGAGGAUGAUCCGCCACACUGGAACUGAGACACGGUCCAGACUCCUACGGGAGGCAGCAGUGGGGAAUUUUGGACAAUGGGCGCAAGCCUGAUCCAGCCAUGCCGCGUGAGUGAAGAAGGCCUGGUU
This 395-nucleotide ribosomal RNA is filed under the name uncultured bacterium. RNAcentral describes it as "bacterial SSU rRNA". It matches the Rfam family "Bacterial small subunit ribosomal RNA", at positions 30 to 424 of the family's 1533-position model. The record is from RNAcentral.